CUCGUAGGUGGCCAACUAAGUCAGACGUGAAAUCCCUCAGCUUAACUGGGGAACUGCGUCUGAUACUGGAUGGCUUGAGUUUGGGAGAGGGAUGCGGAAUUCCAGGUGUAGCGGUGAAAUGCGUAGAUAUCUGGAGGAACACCGGUGGCGAAGGCGGCAUCCUGGACCAAUACUGACACUGAGGAGCGAAAGCCAGGGGAGCAAACG
This 207-nucleotide ribosomal RNA is filed under the name uncultured bacterium. RNAcentral's name for it is "partial 16S ribosomal RNA". It matches the Rfam family "Bacterial small subunit ribosomal RNA", at positions 568 to 774 of the family's 1533-position model. The record is from RNAcentral.